Molecule: non-coding RNA, 112 nt
Organism: Peromyscus maniculatus bairdii (prairie deer mouse)
Lineage: Eukaryota; Metazoa; Chordata; Mammalia; Rodentia; Cricetidae
Source: RefSeq, a predicted model, not a curated record
UCUCUGAUCUACCAGCAUGGACCCCAAUAACUCGCCUCGGGUUUGAUUUUAUUAAUAAGAACUUUGAUGAAUCCUGCUACAGCAGAGAAAGGGGAACAGUGAGAGGAGGAAG